Small nuclear RNA from Vombatus ursinus (common wombat), 106 nucleotides. The record is from Ensembl. NCBI's taxonomy places the organism in Eukaryota, Metazoa, Chordata, Mammalia, Diprotodontia, Vombatidae.
GUACUCACUUAGGCAGCACAUUAUACUAAAAUCGGAAUAAUACAGAGAUUAGCAUGGUCCCUGUGCAAGGAUGUCAUACAAAUUCAUAGAUAAUUCCACUUUUUUU